GGAAAGGUGGUGAUCUGGCUGCUGCAUCUGUCACCCCAUUCAGCACCCAGGGUUGAUUCGGCUGCUCUGGCUGGCUAGGUGGGUGUCCACUUCCUCCCUCACUGCUCCAUGUGUAUCCCGCCCAAAGCUGCGAGCUCUGAGCUCCGAGAAAGAAAAGACCUUCCCAGAAUAGACAGACCAGUCCUCAGUGGAGGGUAUACAAAUAGCUGCACUCCCCUGCUAGGACCUCCAAACUAGCUCAAAAAUGGUGAGCCAGUAAACUAGCUCACUCAGACGGUGCACCUGGUCUGCCAUG
Erinaceus europaeus (western European hedgehog) is the source of this 295-nucleotide unclassified non-coding RNA. Its record names the gene 7SK. It matches the Rfam family "7SK RNA". Rfam says of the family: 7SK was discovered as an abundant small nuclear RNA in the mid-70s but a possible function has only recently been suggested. Two independent studies have found that 7SK RNA binds the CDK9/cyclin T complex (known as elongation factor P-TEFb). NCBI's taxonomy places the organism in Eukaryota, Metazoa, Chordata, Mammalia, Eulipotyphla, Erinaceidae. The record is from Ensembl.